This 327-nucleotide ribosomal RNA is filed under the name uncultured eukaryote. RNAcentral's name for it is "partial 18S ribosomal RNA". It matches the Rfam family "Eukaryotic small subunit ribosomal RNA", at positions 1470 to 1796 of the family's 1831-position model. The record is from RNAcentral.
CCCUUAGAUGUUCUGGGCCGCACGCGCGCUACACUGACGAAUGCAACGAGCUUAUAACCUUGGCCGAAAGGUCUGGGUGAUCUCCAAAUUUCGUCGUGAUGGGGAUAGAUUAUUGCAAUUAUUAAUCUUCAACGAGGAAUGCCUAGUAAGCGCAAGUCAUCAGCUUGCGUUGAUUACGUCCCUGCCCUUUGUACACACCGCCCGUCGCUCCUACCGAUUGAAUGGUCCGGUGAAGCGCUCGGACCGCGGCCUCUUGACGGUUUUCCGUCGAUUGGCUGUGGGAAGUUCGUUAAACCUUAUCAUUUAGAGGAAGGAGAANUCGUANCA